This 498-nucleotide ribosomal RNA is filed under the name uncultured Chitinophagaceae bacterium. RNAcentral's name for it is "bacterial SSU rRNA". It matches the Rfam family "Bacterial small subunit ribosomal RNA", at positions 417 to 916 of the family's 1533-position model. The record is from RNAcentral. Lineage: Bacteria; Pseudomonadati; Bacteroidota; Chitinophagia; Chitinophagales; Chitinophagaceae.
UCUGGGUUGUAAACUUCUUUUAUCUGGGAAAAAAUCCAUAUAUUCUUAUGUGGUUGACGGUACCAGAUGAAUAAGCACCGGCUAACUCCGUGCCAGCAGCCGCGGUAAUACGGAGGGUGCAAGCGUUAUCCGGAUUCACUGGGUUUAAAGGGUGCGUAGGCGGGUAGGUAAGUCCGUGGUGAAAUCUCCGAGCUUAACUCGGAAACUGCCGUGGAUACUAUUUGUCUUGAAUAUUGUGGAGGUGAGCGGAAUAUGUCAUGUAGCGGUGAAAUGCUUAGAUAUGACAUAGAACACCAAUUGCGAAGGCAGCUCACUACACAAUCAUUGACGCUGAGGCACGAAAGCGUGGGGAUCAAACAGGAUUAGAUACCCUGGUAGUCCACGCCCUAAACGAUGAUUACUCGACAUCAGCGAUACACUGUUGGUGUCUGAGCGAAAGCAUUAAGUAAUCCACCUGGGAAGUACGACCGCAAGAUUGAAACUCAAAGGAAUUGACGG